RNAcentral lists this long non-coding RNA (234 nucleotides) under Salvia miltiorrhiza (redroot sage). RNAcentral describes it as "long non-coding RNA (SMIL_LNC003392)". Lineage: Eukaryota; Viridiplantae; Streptophyta; Magnoliopsida; Lamiales; Lamiaceae. The record is from RNAcentral.
UAAAUUUUAUCUCUAUCUUCAUCACAAUAUUCAAUAACAGUGGAACAAAAUGUGUCUUUUAUUUUUCCUUGAAAAUAGAAAAAAAAUAUUAUGAAUACAAAUAAAAUGGAUAAUAAUAAUAAAUAAAAAAAUAGAAAAAAAAUAUUAUGGUGGUAGAUCCGCAAAUCUAAACCCGGAUCUACCGUCAUCCCUAAAAGUAACAACAAAUCUCAUAUUUCCUCUGCCAAAACUUAC